RNAcentral lists this long non-coding RNA (224 nucleotides) under Elaeis guineensis (African oil palm). RNAcentral's name for it is "long non-coding RNA (EGUI_LNC056923)". The record is from RNAcentral. Lineage: Eukaryota; Viridiplantae; Streptophyta; Magnoliopsida; Arecales; Arecaceae.
GCUGGUGGAGCCCGUCCAUUAUAGAAAUUCGUCUGGGAUCCAUCUGCUGUAGAAGUUCGACUGAGAUCCGGCUCUUGUAGGAGCUCGAAUAAAAUUUGAAAGGUGGUCGACCGUCGUAGAAACUUGGAUGGAGUCUGGUCACUGUAGAAGUCUUGCUGUUAGAGAAGCUCGAACAUUGAUGAAGUUCGGAAGAAGUUCGGAGUAAAGUCGCUCGUGGUAGGAAG